RNAcentral lists this ribosomal RNA (251 nucleotides) under Escherichia coli. RNAcentral's name for it is "partial 23S ribosomal RNA". It matches the Rfam family "Bacterial large subunit ribosomal RNA", at positions 460 to 714 of the family's 2925-position model. The record is from RNAcentral. Lineage: Bacteria; Pseudomonadati; Pseudomonadota; Gammaproteobacteria; Enterobacterales; Enterobacteriaceae.
CCAAGGCUAAAUACUCCUGACUGACCGAUAGUGAACCAGUACCGUGAGGGAAAGGCGAAAAGAACCCCGGUGAGGGGAGUGAAAAAGAACCUGAAACCGUGUACGUACAAGCAGUGGGAGCCUCUUUAUGGGGUGACUGCGUACCUUUUGUAUAAUGGGUCAGCGACUUAUAUUCUGUAGCAAGGUUAACCGAAUAGGGGAGCCGAAGGGAAACCGAGUCUUAACUGGGCGUUAAGUUGCAGGGUAUAGAC